AAAAAACGAUCCUUUGAUAAUGCUUGGUGUUAGAGCGUUUCCGCCCUUCAGUGCCGCAUCUAACGCAUUAUGCAUUCCGCCUGGGGAGUACGACCGCAAGGUUGAAACUCAAAGGAAUUGACGGGGGCCCGCACAAGCGGUGGAGCAUGUGGUUUAAUUCGAAGCAACGCGAAGAACCUUACCAGGUCUUGACAUCUUUUGAUCACCUGAGAGAUCCGGUUUCCCCUUCGGGGGCAAAAUGACAGGUGGUGCAUGGUUGUCGUCAGCUCGUGUCGAGAGAUGUUGGGUUAAGUCCCGCAACGAGCGCAACCCUUAUGACUAGUUGCCAGCAUUUAGUUGGGCACUCUAGUAAGACUGCCGGUGACAAACCGGAGGAAGGUGGGGAUGACGUCAAAUCAUCAUGCCCCUUAUGACCUGGGCUACACACGUGCUACAAUGGAUGGUACAACGAGUUGCGAGACCGCGAGGUCAAGCUAAUCUCUUAAAGCCAUUCUCAGUUCGGACUGUAGGCUGCAACUCGCCUACACGAAGUCGGAAUCGCUAGUAAUCGCGGAUCAGCACGCCGCGGUGAAUACGUUCCCGGGCCUUGUACACACCGCCCGUCACACCAUGAGAGUUUGUAACACCCGAAGCCGGUGGCGUAACCCUUUUAGGGAGCGAGCCGUCUAAGGUGGGACAAAUGAUUAGGGUGAAGUCGUAACAAGGUAACCGUAAU
Molecule: ribosomal RNA, 715 nt
Filed under: Lacticaseibacillus paracasei
Lineage: Bacteria; Bacillati; Bacillota; Bacilli; Lactobacillales; Lactobacillaceae
Description: bacterial SSU rRNA
Rfam family: Bacterial small subunit ribosomal RNA
Source: RNAcentral